This 475-nucleotide ribosomal RNA is filed under the name Craugastor milesi. RNAcentral describes it as "partial 12S ribosomal RNA". It matches the Rfam family "Bacterial small subunit ribosomal RNA", at positions 780 to 1493 of the family's 1533-position model. The record is from RNAcentral. Lineage: Eukaryota; Metazoa; Chordata; Amphibia; Anura; Craugastoridae.
AGAUACCCCACUAUGCCCAGCCAUAAACUUUAACUUACCCCCACAAUCGCCAGGGAACUACGAGCCAAGCUUAAAACCCAAAGGACUUGACGGUGCCCCAUAUCCAACUAGAGGAGCCUGUCCUACAAUUGAUAAUCCCCACUUAACCUCACCCCCUCUAGCUUUCAGCCUGUAUACUUCCGUCGCCAACUCACCACGUGAGCGAGUUUUCAGUGAGUUCUAUGCCCAAUUCGCCUCUACGUCAGGUCAAAGUGCAGCAAAUGAGAGGGAAAGAGAUGGGCUACACUCUCUAAUAUAGAGAACACGAAAGACUAUUAUGAAAUCUAGUCAGAAGGUGGAUUUAGAAGUAAAAAGAAAAUAGAGUGUUCUUUUUAACCCGGCACUGGGGUGUGUACACACCGCCCGUCACCCUCUUCGAAGCCCCCCAUAAAGUAUUUUACCACUAAUGGCACUAGAGAAGAGGCAAGUCGUAACA